GCUCAAGGGAUCCUCCUGCCUCAGCCUCCCAAAGUGUUGGGAUUAUACUUUGUAAACCCAAAGUGUGAGCCAUCACGUCCAGCCAAAAAGUAUUCAGUAUUUUGAGAGUAUAAGUUGGAUAUGUGAUGUGAGAGAAAGAGAGGAAUCAGGGAUGACUUUGAGAUUUCUGGCUUAAGCAACUGGCAAGUAGGAGUUUUUAAUCAACUGAGGUGGGGAAGACUGUGGGUAGACUAAGUUUUGGGUGACAAGAGCAGGAUUCAGUCAGGGGAACCGAAGGGCAGGCUCUCUGUACCAGCACUCAGUAUGCAGUUUCAUAUCAAGUCAAAGGCUGUCUGAGGCCAACACUGGUCUUUGAGAGUGGGAAGUCCAAGCAAGCAGAAGAUGACAAGUAGGUGUCACUGGCUCUAAUGGAAGAUGGGCAAGAGAAGACCUCUACAUUCUAGAAAGUGAACUUGCUAUGUGGUUUGCCUGGCAACGGACAAGGUGAGGUAAAUAAUGCCACAGAAGUUCCAGGAUGAAGGAUUACAAGAGGUUUGUAAGAAAACUCAAGGGGUACGGUGGUUCAGAAAUGGACAUAACAGCCUAGAGGAAGACCUGGGAGAAGCCCUUGAAUAACCAUUGGUCCAUUGUGCAUCUAGGGUCCUUAACAAAAAGAUAAAAGACAAGUGUAUAAUAUGUUGGAAAAAAAUUUCCCAUUCCCACACAGGCUUGUCAUAUACCAGGAGGUAUCAACAAUCACCAAGCUCUCAUGCAUUAACUACCUGUUUCACCUCCAUUGAGGGAUAUGUCUCAUGUCAAUAAUUGGAUCUAUGAAACCUGGCUGUGAUAAAUACCAAGGAAUUCUAUGCCAGUUCACAGCAGUAAGAGUGCAGAAGUGCCAGGCUGAAGAGGCCAUGUCCAUCUGCUUAUUGCAAUUUCUUCCUGAAGAUUGUUUUUGGGUGCUUUAUCAAUUGUCCACAUUGUUCUGGGAGUAUCUUUGCCCUGAGUGAAGCCUGUCUGCUCCAGUCUAGUCUGGGUGAUUCAGAUAUGAGGACACUGGGAGUCAUGUUGGCUGGUUCCGUUUCUGCACCACCUUCAUGAGUUACUUGGGUGAGUCAGUUUUGAGUUCAGUCUUCUGAUCUAUUAGAUGAUUGGGUUGGAUCAAAUGAUGUCUCAGGUUCCUUCCAACUUGAUUACCUUUGGAUCAAAAGAGCUUUUUGAGUUACUUGGUAUAUUCUCAAUAACUGUUCACUUAUUUGUUAUACAGAAAGUUCUAGGAAAAGAUCUAGGACCAUCCCUAUUCUUUAAAACCUGAUAUGUUCAAAAACUGGUGAUGAACUACAUGUUCAUCACCAUGAUAAUUCCUACAU
Molecule: long non-coding RNA, 1349 nt
Organism: Pan paniscus (pygmy chimpanzee)
Lineage: Eukaryota; Metazoa; Chordata; Mammalia; Primates; Hominidae
Source: Ensembl